UUUCCGUAGGGGAACCUGCGGAAGGAUCAUUCAUAAUAAAGUGUUUUAUGGCACUUUUUAAAAAUCCAUAUCCACCUUGUGUGCAAUGUUAGAUCUCGUCAAUCUUGGCGAGAUUUUUAUACAUCAACUCAUUCUUUAACUAAUUUGUCUGAAAAAUAUCAUGAAUACUUAAUUCAAAAUACAACUUUCAACAACGGAUCUCUUGGCUCUC
This 211-nucleotide unclassified non-coding RNA is filed under the name plant metagenome. Its description in RNAcentral is "partial contains small subunit ribosomal RNA, internal transcribed spacer 1, and 5.8S ribosomal RNA". The record is from RNAcentral.